AAGCUCGUAGUUGAAUUUCGGGGUUCUACCGUUGGUCAGGCAAUAGUCUGUACUGGCGUAUAGAAUUUCUACCUUCUGGGGAACCAUCAUGUUAUUUAUUUAGCGUGAUGGGAAACCAGGACCUUUACCUUGAAAAAAUUAGAGUGUUCAAAGCAGGCUUACGUCUGAAUACAUUAGCAUGGAAUAAUAAAAUAGGACGGUGGUCCUGUUUUGUUGGUUUCUGAAUCACCGUAAUGAUUAAUAGGGAUAGUUGGG
Molecule: ribosomal RNA, 255 nt
Filed under: uncultured Gigaspora
Lineage: Eukaryota; Fungi; Glomeromycota; Glomeromycetes; Diversisporales; Gigasporaceae
Description: partial 18S ribosomal RNA
Rfam family: Eukaryotic small subunit ribosomal RNA
Source: RNAcentral